CGAAUCGAUGGGAGCUUGCUCCCUGAGAUUAGCGGCGGACGGGUGAGUAACACGUGGGCAACCUGCCUAUAAGACUGGGAUAACUUCGGGAAACCGGAGCUAAUACCGGAUACGUUCUUUUCUCGCAUGAGAGAAGAUGGAAAGACGGUUUUGCUGUCACUUAUAGAUGGGCCCGCGGCGCAUUAGCUAGUUGGUGAGGUAAUGGCUCACCAAGGCGACGAUGCGUAGCCGACCUGAGAGGGUGAUCGGCCACACUGGGACUGAGACACGGCCCAGACUCCUACGGGAGGCAGCAGUAGGGAAUCUUCCGCAAUGGACGAAAGUCUGACGGAGCAACGCCGCGUGAACGAAGAAGGCCUUCGGGUCGUAAAGUUCUGUUGUUAGGGAAGAACAAGUACCAGAGUAACUGCUGGUACCUUGACGGUACCUAACCAGAAAGCCACGGCUAACUACGUGCCAGCAGCCGCGGUAAUACGUAGGUGGCAAGCGUUGUCCGGAAUUAUUGGGCGUAAAGCGCGCGCAGGUGGUUCCUUAAGUCUGAUGUGAAAGCCCACGGCUCAACCGUGGAGGGUCAUUGGAAACUGGGGAACUUGAGUGCAGAAGAGGAAAGUGGAAUUCCAAGUGUAGCGGUGAAAUGCGUANAGAUUUGGAGGAACACCAGUGGCGAAAGCGACUUUCUGGUCUGUAACUGACACUGAGCGCGAAAGCGUGGGGAGCAAACAGGAUUANAUACCCUGGNANUCCACNCCGUAAACGAUGAAUGCUA
Molecule: ribosomal RNA, 766 nt
Filed under: Bacillus sp. (in: firmicutes)
Lineage: Bacteria; Bacillati; Bacillota; Bacilli; Caryophanales; Bacillaceae
Description: bacterial SSU rRNA
Rfam family: Bacterial small subunit ribosomal RNA
Source: RNAcentral